This 2355-nucleotide ribosomal RNA is filed under the name Armillaria gallica. Its description in RNAcentral is "small subunit ribosomal RNA". The stretch from base 1 to 1101 matches the Rfam family "Bacterial small subunit ribosomal RNA". The record is from RNAcentral. Lineage: Eukaryota; Fungi; Basidiomycota; Agaricomycetes; Agaricales; Physalacriaceae.
AUCCGUAAGAAUUUAAUUUUGGUUCUGAUUGAACGUUUUUCAGUAGUUUUAAGACAUGCAAAUCAUUAUUAAUAAAAAAUAUUAUUAUAUAAAAUCCAAAUAAAUAAUAUUAAUAAAAAAUAAGGUGUAAGGGUGAGUAUAGGUAGAUUAGAUACCUUAUAGACUCCUUAAAUAGGAGAUUAUUACUUCUUGAUCCACAAAGGAUCCGGUAUGCAAUCUUUGCACAACUCGAAAAAGAUACUUAAAGUAAUAUAAAAUUAAGAAAAGAAAUAUUUUGCCUAACAAACAAAAUAAAAAGAUAAUCUUUUUAAAAAAUUUCAAUAAAUUAACAGUAGUUAACAAUUAAAUUUUAGUAAUUUUAAAUUAGUGCUAAAGCUCCCCUCUCUGUACAAUUGUAACGAGCGGUCAAAGGCUAAAGUUUAAGGACAAGUAAUAUAAUAAUUUAGCAAUUAUAAAAAGGAAAUUUUCCGCUAUAAGAUUUGAUCUAUUCUGUUUAAAGGUAGUUGGUAGAGUAAAAGCCUAUCCAAGCCUACGAUCAGUAGCUAAGUUUGAAAGAACAAAUAGCCACAUAGGUAAUGAAAUUUUCCUAGUAGUGUUUUUACUACCAGCAGUCAAGAAUCUUAGUCAAUGCUCGCAAGAGUGAACUAGCUAACUGAAAUCGCAUAUUUCGUUAAUGGAAAUGUGAUAAAGUAAGGGAAGAAGUCUGACGUUACCUUACUAUAAGUGUUGUCCAAAGCUGGUGCCAGAAGACUCGGUAAGGCCAGAGACGCAAACGUUAAUCGCAAUAACCAGGCGUAAAGGGUUCGUAGGCAGCUUAAAAAUUUUAAUUUAUAUAGCUAUAUGAUUAAUAUAUAUAUUAAUUAUAAUAAUUUUAAAAAUAAUACAAGAUAUAAUCAAAUAGAGGAUAAGUUGAACAAUACUUAGAGUAAGGGUUAAAUCUAUAGAUACUAAGUAGAAUACUCAAGGUGAAAACUUUUUAUCCAUUAUUGAUGGAAGCUGAGGAACGAAGGUUUGAACAGAAAAUAGGAUGUGCGACUUGAUAAGUCUAAUUAUUGUAUUGUAUUCUCAGAAUACAUUAUCUUUCGUCUGAUAAUAGCCAACCUAGACAUGCAAAAAGAUUGAUUUGAAUUUUAUCUUUCCAGAAAUGGUUUUGUGUGAAGCUUUAGGGUAAAGUUAAUUUAAAAGGUAAUCUACCUUGAACAUUUUAAAUUCAAAUGUUUUAUAACGAAGGCUGAUUUCUAAGGUUAGGGAGACCGAACUUAUGUAGUAAAGCUUAUUAAUUAGGCAACUAAUCGUCCUAGUUAGUUGUAGACGAACAAAUAGUUAAUAUUUCAAAGUAAGAACCUAAGGAAAUCUAUCGUACAUAAUUAGAAACAAGUGAACACCUAUAACCUGCAAUUAAUAAAUUUUAAUGUAAUAAAAUUGCUAGCUUAUUCCGUAAGGGUAAGUACAUGGUUAGAGGUAAUAUGAUUUAGAAAAAAGCGAAUGUCUAUUUGUAAUGAAUAGAAUAAGGCUAUGCCUAACCUGAAAGGGUGCCUACUUUCUAAAGGUGCUAUAACAAAUAUAAUAAAUAUUUAAUUAAUAAAACAUCUUUACUUAUUUAAUUUAACCUCUGCGUAGCGCGUAGCAGUAGCGUAGCCAAUUUAAAUUUUAAAACAUUGCCCCCACGAACUUUAGUACGUAGGAGUUAGUUAUAAAAAAGAUUCUCUUUUUUAUUAGGCUACAUAUUCUUUAUUAAUAUAUAUCUUUUCGGCUGCAGUAGCAAGCGUUUAUAAAAGAAAAGAUUAAACCAACUCCAAUUAAACUUGAACAUGCAAUUUCAGCUCCUAUUUAUUUAGCUGCUGCUAACUUAAAAUUUAAGAUAUGUAAUAAUAAAAAUAAAAAAGUUAUAUAGAUAAAUAAAGUUAAAGUUUAAUUUAAUUAAUUAAAACAUAUAUUAUAUAUAUGAAUUUAUAGUGCCGAAUUGUUGCCUGAAAUUCGGCAACAUGAAGAAGGAAUUUCGAGUAAUCGUUGAUCACAAGCGCAACGGUGAAGGUAAAAAAUUCGUGAUGAACUAACUGUCUGUCACUGGGAAGAAGCUCGGGUAGGGGGAAACUGCUUCUUAAUUAAUAACUUUUUCUAAAGAAUAGCUUAAAUUUUAUUAAGUCAAAUUUUAAGUGUUGUUUUAUUGAUAAACUUUUAAAUUUUUAAUUGUUUAUCCUUAUUAGUUGUUUGGUUUUAAACCUUUUAACAAUAUUUUAGUAAGAUUAAACAUCUUUGUUAAGCUUAAUUAGUCUUAGUUAACUCAUCUAAGUAACAUCUCAAAAGUCAUAGCAAGGUAGCUGUACUGGAAAGUGCUGCUGUAAUAUAAAUACA